GACAAAAUGAAUAUUAAAGAUGCAAAUGAAGGUUCGUCGAUGCAGUUGGAUACAAAGGGAACUGUUGAAGAAAAGGAGAUUACUAAAUCAAUGGACAAACUAAAUAUUCAACAAUUACCAUCUGGACAAGCUGGAUCUUCAUUAUCAAAUUUCAAAAGAAAACCAGUUGUCAUUAUUGUUGUAGGAAUGGCAGGAAGUGGAAAAACAACAUUUCUUCAUAGGUUGGUUUGCCAUACACAAGCUGCAAAUAUACGUGGUUAUGUACUCAACCUUGAUCCUGCUGUGAUGACUCUUCCAUUCGGUGCAAACAUUGAUAUAAGGGACACUGUUCGAUAUAAGGAAGUCAUGAAGCAGUUUAAUCUUGGACCUAAUGGGGGAAUCCUAACUUCUUUAAAUUUGUUUGCUACAAAGUUCGAUGAGGUUAUUUCAACUAUAGAGAGGCGAGCAGAUCAACUUGAUUAUGUUCUAGUGGACACGCCUGGACAAAUUGAGAUUUUCACUUGGUCUGCUUCUGGAGCUAUCAUUACAGAAGCUUUUGCUUCAACCUUUCCAACUAUUAUUGCUUAUGUGGUUGAUACACCUCGUUCCUCAAGCCCAACUACUUUCAUGAGCAAUAUGCUUUAUGCUUGUAGCAUACUCUACAAGACACGUUUGCCACUCGUGUUGGCAUUUAACAAGAUAGAUGUGGCUCAACACCAGUUUGCUUUGGAGUGGAUGGAAGAUUUUGAAGCCUUCCAAGCAGCAGUCAGCGCCGAUCACUCAUAUACAUCCACAUUGACAGCAAGCCUUUCACUUGUACUUGAUGAAUUCUAUAAGAAUUUAAAAUCUGUUGGGGUCUCUGCUGUUUCUGGGGUUGGAAUGGAUGCCUUCUUUAAGGCUAUCGAAGCGAGUGCUGAGGAAUGGCUGAACUUGAUAAGAGACAGGCAGAGAAGCAACGCCUGGAGGAAGAUCGCCGGAGGGAGAACAUGGAAAAGUUAAGGAAAGAUAUGGAGAAAUCUGGAUGUGAAACUGUGGUCCUGAGCACUGGUUUGAAGGACAAACAAGCCGGGAGAGAUACUUUGAUGGAGGAGGAAGAUGAUGAUUUUGAGAGGUUUAGUGAAGAGGAAGAUGUUGUAGAUGAGGAUGAAGAUGAAGAGGUUGCCAGGUUCUCCUUUUAGUGCAGCUGUUUUAC
Molecule: unclassified non-coding RNA, 1171 nt
Filed under: Hevea brasiliensis (rubber tree)
Lineage: Eukaryota; Viridiplantae; Streptophyta; Magnoliopsida; Malpighiales; Euphorbiaceae
Source: RNAcentral